This 365-nucleotide ribosomal RNA is filed under the name uncultured bacterium. RNAcentral describes it as "partial 16S ribosomal RNA". It matches the Rfam family "Bacterial small subunit ribosomal RNA", at positions 338 to 700 of the family's 1533-position model. The record is from RNAcentral.
CCUACGGGAGGCAGCAGUGAGGAAUAUUGGUCAAUGGGCGCGAGCCUGAACCAGCCAAGUAGCGUGAAGGAUGACUGCCCUACGGGUUGUAAACUUCUUUUAUAAAGGAAUAAAGUGAGGCACGUGUGCCUUUUUGUAUGGACGUUAUGAAUAAGGAUCGGCUAACUCCGUGCCAGCAGCCGCGGUAAUACGGAGGAUCCGAGCGUUAUCCGGAUUUAUUGGGUUUCCAGGGAGCGUAGAUGGGUUGUUAAGUCAGUUGUGAAAGGUUGCGGCUCAACCGUAAAAUUGCACUUGAUACUGGCAGCCUUGCGUACAGUUGAGGUAGGCGGAAUUCGUUGUGUAGCGGUGAAAUGCUUAGAUAUCAC